CCUACGGGUGGCAGCAGUGGGGAAUAUUGGACAAUGGGGGAAACCCUGAUCCAGCGACGCCGCGUGAGUGAAGAAGUAUUUCGGUACGUAAAGCUCUAUCAGCAGGGAAGAAAAUGACUGUACCUGACUAAGAAGCCCCGGCUAACUACGUGCCAGCAGCCGCGGUAAUACGUAGGGGGCAAGCGUUAUCCGGAUUUACUGGGUGUAAAGGGAGCGUAGACGGCAGCGCAAGUCUGGAGUGAAAUGCCGGGGCUCAACCCCGGAACUGCUCUGGAAACUGUGCAGCUGGAGUGCAGGAGAGGUAAGCGGAAUUCCUGGUGUAGCGGUGAAAUGCGUAGAUAUCAGGAGGAACACCGGCGGCGAAGGCGACUUACUGGACUGUAACUGACGUUGAGGCUCGAAGGCGUGGGGAGCAAACAGGAUUAGAUACCCCGGUAGUC
RNAcentral lists this ribosomal RNA (440 nucleotides) under uncultured bacterium. RNAcentral describes it as "partial 16S ribosomal RNA". It matches the Rfam family "Bacterial small subunit ribosomal RNA", at positions 338 to 795 of the family's 1533-position model. The record is from RNAcentral.